CAGCGGCUUGCUAAUUAGUUUCUGGCAUCGAAUUCGUUCAUUGUGUCAGUUUCCCACCAGACCUUCGGCUGAUGAUGAAAGUGAAGUAAGUUUUCGUGUUCCAAAAUUUGUUGAUUUUUUUUUUUAUAGCAGUUAAAAUUACUAUCCGUAUAUGUUUAGAUUAAGCCAUAUAUUGUAGUUUUUGAUGGCCAACAAUGAACGCCCUAGAUAUAUACUGACCGGAUUUAGGAUCCUGCAUGUACUGAAUCGUCAAUGUUCGCAAUCAAUUUAUGUUGAUCGGGGGCUGAUAAAUAGAUCGAUAUUACAAAUUUAUAUCAUACUUUUCACUUGAGUUUUGUAUGGUUUUUAUGUUAAAUAAUGUCGUCGAUCAUCAUUUCUCCACAACUUAUAUUACCAGUUUGAGAUAGCUAGCAAGUCACAAUUUCGAUGUAUAUAUACGUAUAUAUGGUGCGAGUCUUAACAACUAAAUUAAAUCUAGCUAGAGUGAUUCGUUAGAGUGCAUGCGUGAUCGAAGGAACACAAUUGAUAAGACCAGAGCUCAAAAACUAGCUAUAGCUAAACAUUUAAGCAUACUAUAUAUAUAAUGGAACGAAUAUUUAAGAGCGAAUAGAACGAAUCAUUGUUCAUACAUAUACUUCAUCAAAAAUCACAUAUACAUACAAGUACGUACUGAUACAACAAGAAGGAAGCAGCUGACGAAAAUAGGAAAUAUCUACGUACUGUAAGAAAAUCCUUCAAUUAAUACACCAAUAUUGACCUGUACUUACACAUAAACAUAUAGAGAUAAAUAAUUAAGUUUGUAUUUGUAUAUCAUAUCUAUAUCGUUACGGGAAGUGACACACACACACCCUAAAUUGUAAUCCACACACCCACUUUUUUUUUAGUGACUUAAAUUUUAUCUUUAGUGAUUUCAAUUUUGUCUUUAUAUGAUAAUGAUUACUAAAAAUUGAAAAUAAGUGUGUAGAUUACAAUUUAAGAUGUGUGGAUUGUAUAUCCAAUAGUUACAUGUUUUGUUAAUUUGGUCCCUGUUUUGUUUGGAUACUGGUGCGUAACAGGUACUUAGCAUUUUCUUUUGAUACAAGGUGGACCACUUUUUAGAGUAGCACAUUCAUAUCAUAACUUGUGUGGUUCCAUAUGUUAUAGAAAGUCUAAUCUAUCACAUAAUUUAGAUUAAUCUAUCACAUAAUUUAGAUAAAUAACGUGUAUAUGAAAAAAAAAAAAUAAAUAUAUAUAUAUAUAUAUAUAUAUAUAUAUAUGUUGUAUCUAUAAAUGUUCAACAUCAAGUUUUAUCACACAUCGAGCGGCGAUCGAUUUACACUUACACGCUUGCCUAGCUACAUUAAGUCUCAUAUGGAUGUAGAUGCAAUACAAACAUUGAUUAGCUAGGAAGAUAGAUUCGUCGAGGAAUGACUUGAGGACGAGAUGGAUGGCAUGCGGUAUAUAGUAGUAAAUAAUCCAAAUUUCAGGCCAAAAACAAAAUAGAAAUGAGAAGCUGAUUUUUGUAAUAAUUUUUUUUUUAAUCAAAAAGUCAUUCCAUUAAAUCAGAGUAAGCAGUAUAAAGACGAUGCACCCCUAAGGGUCAUCAGAAAGUAUCGUCUUACAGAAUUGCAAGUCCUACACUAGCUAAAGCAUACACUAUGAAAUCCUAAAUACACCCACCUUAUAGCGAUUAAGCACAAUUUUACAAGUAAACUAGGAUCCGCAGAGAACUAUCAAUACCCAACGAAUGCAAACUAGUUUACCUUGAUCAAACUAAAUUUAAACUAGGGGUCCAAGCCCAAUUGCAUCAUCCAAGGCCCAACAAAGGGAAACCCUAGCAACACCAACCCAAGCCCAUUCGAGCCCAAAUCUUGAAGGAGCCAAAAAAGAAACCCUAGCAUCCUCCACCCUUUUGCCACCGUCAUCACCACCCGAGGCCAACAACGCUGGCAUAGCCAUUUUCGGAAUCAGAGUCGCAUCACCGUCGCCGACUCCUUCCACAUCACCACUGCUCUCUCCAACAACACAAAGAGAAGGAAGAACAGGUGUACAAUCGCAAGGUAAACUCUGAAACUCACUGACCAAAAAAGCUCCCAGCCGCCACUGCCAAACAUGAUCCCGCAGAGCACACCGAUCCCCUUCAUCAUUCCCAAACCAUCCGGAUCUAAGAUCGGAUCAAAUUUUGAUUGACUCUUGUUCAUGGAAUGGUGUCGUGCAAGCCGGCCGUCAUCACCACCGAUUUGACGAGAAAGAGAGGGAAGAGAUCCCCUUUUCAAUCGAAAGUGCACAGUUGCCACCAGUGGAGAACCACCGCCGCUAAGUUUCCUCUCUUGCGAGAGGCCAGAGAGAGAGCGUCUUAAUUGAUAAUUGAGGUUGUUGCUAGCCGCACCCUUUUGAUUCGUUGUUAGUGUUUUAUUUGUAAUAUUUUUUUUUGUCAUAUAACAACUGUAAUUUAAACAUGAAAAAUUAUUGUAUCUUCUAGGACUACCACAUGUAACAUGGUUCGGCACUAGUAUUGGUCAACAUACACAAUUAAUACGUAGGGAUACAAAUUUGUCAACCAUCCUUAUUUGCCCACCUUUUUAAUUUAUUGACAUGUGUUCAUUUUAUUAUUAAGAAUAAAGUUAAAUCAUUUGAAGAGGAGUGCGGCUAUUGGGACCUCCUAAUUUGCUCAAUAUACCUCUUGUUCUCUUUACACCUCUAUUUUACUUUUAAAUACAAGUAUUUGCUCACUAGACCUCUUUUCAAAUUACUAAAAUAACCUUAUUUAUGUAAUUCACAUAUAUUUCCAUAUAUUACUCAUUACACCUCUUAUUCACUAACUAGACUUUUUUUUUCUUUUUUCUUUUUGCACGCGAACAUCGAUCUAUUCUCGACCUCUUAUUUUUUUUUCUUUUUUAAUAUAUUUUCACGCAAACCUCCAUUUCUUUUUUAUUUCUUUUUGCAUAAAAUGUCACUAGACCUUCAUUUUUUAAUCAAAUACUAAGAAAAAAAAUCAAUGACAUCAAUUCAGAGAAAAUUCAUUCGAAUCAUGAAGAGUAGUUUAUCUUAAAAGAAAAAAACAAGGUAUUGUGUCUCACAAUUAAUUUCUAUCAAUCAUCAAAAGAAUGUUCUUAUUUAAAUUUGUAUUUAAUAUUUAUAUAAUUUUUUAAUCAUUGAUAAUCAUACUUCCACAAAAUAUUUUUCACCUUGUACGUAUAUGCAUGCAACAUGUAUAAUAACAUAAAUUUUCUGCUACAUGAUCGUAAUAUAUUACUCAUAGUUUUAGUUCUUAUUAUAUAUAUAAAUGUUUUAAUAAGUAUGUAGUAAAAUUAAAAAAUCAAUAAGGAAAGUAAUAAAAUGCAAUCCAAUAUUAUUGAAUUGGAAAGUUUAAAGUGAACAAAUCUAAUAUUUGUUUUUGUUUAAUUAUUGUCCUUAAUAGUCAUUAUGUGCAAGAAUAUAUAUGUCAUUUAAUAAGUCACAAUACAGUGAGGUCAGGUGAGCAAAUUAAGAAGUCCCAAUAGCCGCACUCUUUGAAGAGACAUGUGUCAAUAGACUAAGAGAGUGAACACUUUAAUUUAGUGGGCAAAUAAAGGUGGUUGGUAAAUUUGUAUCCCGUUACGUAGUAGGCCUCACGUAAAUAACCCAAUUGUAUUGGUCCGAAUGACCACAUGCCACUACAAACGUGGUAGUUCAUGACCACAUAAUGAUCUUGAAUUUUCACAUUGGAACAUGUAGAGAGAGGGAGCGGUAAAAAGAAGAGAGAAAAAUAGACUCAUAUCGACGCUCCAAACUUCGAAGCUUGUUUAAUCAAAAUUUGUUAGCUAGAGAGAGUGAGUGUGUGACUAAAAGUAUUGCCGUGAUUUUUUUUAUAAAAAAAAAAAAAACUUUUGAUGAUGUGUUGUAUUUGAUGAAUAUUACCUUUUAAAAGUGUUGUUAAGACGUAAAAUUAUUAUUUUUUUAAUUAAAAACUGAUGCUAUUGAUCCGUAAUUAAAAAAAAUUGUUUAAAAUUUUGCUAACAUUAUGAAAUAUGAAAGUUCAUCUAAAAGAUUAUCCUUUAUAAAAAACGAAACAAUCCCAAACUGAGGCUUAGUCAAGAAUCAAAGUCUCACCUCAGAAGGUGAGCGCCCACUAGAUGGGCUAAAGAAUUUUCAGAGAGAAGCUACUAAUUACCACUUUUGACCAAGGUUGACUUGAUCAAACUCGACCCAAGUCUCUGUCUCACCCUCUCCCAUCCUUCACCAUCGUUGCUUCCUAGCCGGACAUAGUAAAUCGCAAUCACCGUUCAACCCACCUCGUACAACAACAACUGUCACCCGCCAAUAGCCACAUCCACAACCACAACCACAGUCUAGGAUCCUCCAAAUUCAUAACAGAAUAAAGCUCCCUUGUCGACCUGCAAACAUCAUCCAAUCCAAUCCGAUAGACGUGAUCAGACCUAGCCUACGUGACUCCGAGUUCCACCUGCCUUUGUUCCGCCCCUGUGAAACCCUAGGUAACCUCUAAUCUCCCCCACACAAACCCGGCUCAGACACUGCUUCAACCCGAAAGAAGGAAAACAUAACCUAACCAAUCUUUUGCUACAAACAAGGACUCACCUCCACCCACCUCUAUUAGAGGUCAUCGCUGGCGACAAGGUACAACCGGACAUGCACUCAAUCGAUAUCUGCCUUCUCUCGCUCUCUAGGAUUAGAGAGAGCGACGCUAUAUCUUUAUCGCCCUAUAUCUAUUAAUUUCCACUUAAUAACAAGCCAAAAGGGAUAAGAUUGUUGUUAAGCCCAAUUAUCUAUAAACUAAAAUUUGUUGGCUUGAUUAUGAGAACUGGCAUCUCAAGAAAUGGGUUUAUUUUGUUUUUCUGAGAAGGCUGUUUAUCCCGAAAUUUAGAUAUUUAGAUGAAAAGAAAAGGAGAAAAUACUUGUGAUAUCUUAUAUUUUGUACCUAAAAACAAUUUUGUCAUUCGGUUUUUAAAAUAAAUAGGUAUACCCCUAUAUUCUUAAUUCUCGACAAUUUUACAAUUUCCAUCAGUUAACUGUCAAAAGAGACCGUUAAGUUGUUGAAAUGGCUAAAAUGCCCCUAUUAAAAAUCAAUUUUAUUUUAUUUUAUUUCUCUUUCCUAAUUUUUCUAUUAAAAAUCGAUUUUAUAUUUUCUUUAAAAAAGCAAUUUUCUUUUUUCCUCUUAUUUUUUUUUCUAUUUCAUAAUUAUUACUUUUAUAUGUUAUAUCCUGAGGUGCAAGCGAUUGUUCACGAUAGUUGGUUUGUGUUGAAAGUUUCGCAAUUUGAGUGUCUAAGUAACAACCCGGCCUAAAGGGUUCGGAUUUGGGAAGUUCCUUCUGUGUUUUAGCUCCCUAAUAAAUUAAGUAAUUAGGAAACACUAGUGUUUCAAGGUAGUAUUACUUAAUUUGAGGAUAUACGCAGUUUUCAGUUGGAUCUAAUAGCUACAAAUCCCUACAAUUAAUAUCACUAGUAUAGAGGAACGUACAUGAUCAGUACCGGUACCCUAUAGUUUCAUGCCCAUAACUAAUGCAAGAUAUAUUGAUUCUAACGCUUAACAAAGUGUAGGUAAUUAAUUAAUUAUAUCGAUCUCUAUUCAUAUUCUUGUUUAAAUUAUUAAUGCUACUUGAUUUUAGCAGGAACAGGAACUUACAAAAACGUAUACUGCGCACCUUGCACGUGCACCUCACCUUUCUGAAGAAGUAUCAAGUUUGAGCGUGGAAGAUGAUUGUGCCAUCGCUAGUAGCGCUACUGUUUCUGACCAAGUGAAUCUAAAGAUUGAGGAUGAUAUUGCUAUCAAUGAGGCUAAGAUCCAGCAUGCAAAUAUAUCCAAGAUAGUAAGAGACAAGGACUUUGCUACCUUACAGAAGUUUGGAGGCAUCGAAGGAAUUGCAGAGGCACUCGGUACAGAUUUGCACAACGGAAUCCCAGGUGACGGACAAAAUCUUCAUGAUCAACACAGUGCAGUAGUCUCAACAACACAAGCUCCAACUCCAAGCUUCUUCAACCUUCUCCUACGAUCUUGCUUCAAUUGGACCUUUCUCCUUCUCCUGGUGUCUGUGAUCCUGUUAAUUGUGUUUGGUAUCCAACAAGAAGGCCCAAGUAGCGGUUGGCUUGAAGGAGCUGUUGGAGCGUUUGCGAUCAUCAUGUUUGUGGUUGUGUCUACAAUGCGCAAGUAUUUCUUCGUGCCACGUUCCAGGAUUACUGCUAGACAAAUGGAAGUUAAGGUUCGUAGAGGAGGAAACC
Molecule: long non-coding RNA, 6195 nt
Filed under: Fragaria vesca (wild strawberry)
Lineage: Eukaryota; Viridiplantae; Streptophyta; Magnoliopsida; Rosales; Rosaceae
Description: long non-coding RNA (FVES_LNC001209)
Source: RNAcentral